UGAGGAAUCUUGCGCAAUGGGCGAAAGCCUGACGCAGCGACGCCGCGUGGAGGAUGACGGUUUUCGAAUUGUAAACUCCUGUUAAGCGGGAAGAAAGGCUCAUCUUUAAUACAGAUGAGACAUGACGGUACCGCUAGAGAAAGCACCGGCUAACUUCGUGCCAGCAGCCGCGGUAAUACGAGGGGUGCAAGCGUUAUUCGGAUUAAUUGGGCGUAAAGGGUGCGCAGACGGUUUACUAAGUCACUUGUUAAAUUCUUCGGCCUAACUGAAGGUAUGCAAGCGAUACUGAUAGACUAGAGAGUGGAAGAGAGAAGUGGAAUUCUCGGAGUAGCGGUAAAAUGCGUAGAUCUCGAGAGGAACACCAAUGGCGAAGGCAGCUUCUUGGUCCAUUUCUGACGUUCAGGCACGAAAGCGUGGGGAGCAAACAGG
RNAcentral lists this ribosomal RNA (429 nucleotides) under uncultured bacterium. RNAcentral's name for it is "bacterial SSU rRNA". It matches the Rfam family "Bacterial small subunit ribosomal RNA", at positions 355 to 776 of the family's 1533-position model. The record is from RNAcentral.